CCUUUAGAGUGUCAUAUCAAACGAAAGUAGCUUAUGCAAAAUCGGACACGUUGAAAAAGGAA
Molecule: small RNA, 62 nt
Organism: Clostridium pasteurianum BC1
Lineage: Bacteria; Bacillati; Bacillota; Clostridia; Eubacteriales; Clostridiaceae
Rfam family: RAGATH-18 RNA
About the family: Actinobacteria, Firmicutes, Fusobacteria, Thermotogae (1 example).
Source: Rfam